Molecule: ribosomal RNA, 491 nt
Filed under: uncultured bacterium
Lineage: Bacteria
Description: partial 16S ribosomal RNA
Rfam family: Bacterial small subunit ribosomal RNA
Source: RNAcentral
AGUGAACGCUGGCGGUAGGCCUAACACAUGCAAGUCGAGCGGCAGCACAGUAAGAGCUUGCUCUUACGGGUGGCGAGUGGCGGACGGGUGAGGAAUACAUCGGAAUCUACUUUUUCGUGGGGGAUAACGUAGGGAAACUUACGCUAAUACCGCAUACGACCUACGGGUGAAAGCAGGGGAUCUUCGGACCUUGCGCGAUUGAAUGAGCCGAUGUCGGAUUAGCUAGUUGGCGGGGUAAAGGCCCACCAAGGCGACGAUCCGUAGCUGGUCUGAGAGGAUGAUCGGCAAAACUGAAACUAGGAACCGGUCGGCACCCCACCGGGGGGCAGCAGUGGGAAUAUUGGACAAUGGGCGCAAGCCUGAUCCAGCCAUACCGCGUGGGUGAAGAAGGCCUUCGGGUUGUAAAGCCCUUUUGUUGGGAAAGAAAAGCAGCAGGUUAAUACCCCGCUGUUCUGACGGUACCCAAAGAAUAAGCACCGGCUAACUUCGUG